UACGUAGGGGGCAAGCGUUGUCCGGAAUCAUUGGGCGUAAAGAGCGUGUAGGCGGUUCGGUAAGUCCGCUGUGAAAGUCCAGGGCUCAACCCUGGAAUGCCGGUGGAUACUGCCGGGCUAGAGUCCGGAAGAGGCGAGUGGAAUUCCUGGUGUAGCGGUGAAAUGCGCAGAUAUCAGGAGGAACACCGAUGGCGAAGGCAGCUCGCUGGGACGGUACUGACGCUGAGACGCGAAAGCGUGGGGAGCGAACAGG
Molecule: ribosomal RNA, 253 nt
Filed under: uncultured bacterium
Lineage: Bacteria
Description: partial 16S ribosomal RNA
Rfam family: Bacterial small subunit ribosomal RNA
Source: RNAcentral